RNAcentral lists this long non-coding RNA (379 nucleotides) under Parus major (Great Tit). RNAcentral describes it as "lncRNA (ENSPMJG00000016495.1)". The record is from RNAcentral. Lineage: Eukaryota; Metazoa; Chordata; Aves; Passeriformes; Paridae.
AUGUGCUUUCCCCACAGGGCUGAUCAGCAGGACCUGCCUUCUGAGCUGCCACCUCCAGGAAACCCUGCAGGAGCUGUCCUUGGAGCCGUGGGAUCAGCUUGUGGACAAAACUGCUUUCAACAAAAAACAUGGAGCGUUUCCUCAGAAGUUGUCUACAUCCAUGUGUUCACCUUGCUGGUCCCUCUGAAAGUCAAGGCAGGCAGCUCCAGCCUCGCCAGGGACAGGUUGGGAGCCCUUGGGCACUCCUGGAUCACCUCUGAAGGGCAACUCCACGAGGGAAACAAGCAGACACAAAAGCUCUGCAAAACUCAAGCUGCAUUUGUCAACAACAAAGAGUGUACAGUUCUCAUCUAACAAUAAAACAUUUUAUUUGUUUCCA